Long non-coding RNA from Meriones unguiculatus (Mongolian gerbil), 735 nucleotides. RefSeq lists it as uncharacterized. The record is from RefSeq and is a predicted model, not a curated record. The transcript is spliced from 3 exons. Lineage: Eukaryota; Metazoa; Chordata; Mammalia; Rodentia; Muridae.
ACGGUGACAGAGGAGCAGGAACUGGCAGCCGCAGGGAAUGUAACAGCUACCCCUUUUCUGAGAAAGAGCAUGGCCUUAGAAUAAAGAAGCCCAAAGAAACCAGGCACCAUCUUCUUCCACAGCUGGCCCUCUAGCCCCACAAUAUCCACUAAUCCACCGACAAGGGAUAAAGGCAAUUGGUCUCAGUGUCCUUGUAUCUAUCUACCUCCGACCUUCUAAGAAAGAAGUUGCUUGCCCGAGAAGUGACUGUGCCCGAGGAGCUGGUGCUCGUCACAAAUGUCCCACGUGCUGGAGGAAAGAGUCCUCCACUGUCACCUUGCUGAAAAUCAUUGUUUAAGUGUCUACAGAGUAAGAUGUUUCUUCUGAGUUCCUGUCACCUGUCAGACCCGGCCCUGAGUUCUGCUCAAGAUGGAAGGGGUGACCUCCCAAACCUGCUGGACCCCACGAUACCUCACACAGCCUUGAAUCACCUGAAGGAAAAGAUCCUGUAAACAGCAAGACCUCAGGCCUCAUUCUCCAUUCUUCUGCCUUUGAACAGAGCUGCAUAUCACUACCCCAGGCUCUCUACAUUCAUUCCCCUUUUCAAAUCUCAGGAAGUCUGGGCUGGUAGAAAAAAAUCCUUUACAUUUGUUCAUCUGGAAGUCAAAUUUCCAAAUGAUUCAACAAUGCUGAAGGGUUUACAACAUCUCUGAACAAAUCAAAACUAUUAAAAUCCCAUUGUGUGCUAAUGUCAUU